GUGAAUCAUCAAAUUUUUGAACGCAAAUUGCGCUUCCUGGCAUCCCGGGGAGUAUGCCUGUUUGAGGGUCAGUAUUAACAAAAAAUCGGUUUGGUUGCAAAGUGUGACGUUUCCGGAGUUUGGGCUAUCUUAACUUUUUUGGUUCAGUGGCUUAAAAUUGACCUUAUUUGCGCAUUUUUAGACGUACAUAUAUUUUUUUUUUAUUAUCCUCUAUUUAUUGCUAAAUUCUCCUUGGAUC
RNAcentral lists this unclassified non-coding RNA (238 nucleotides) under Glomeraceae sp. Its description in RNAcentral is "partial contains 5.8S ribosomal RNA and internal transcribed spacer 2". The stretch from base 1 to 71 matches the Rfam family "5.8S ribosomal RNA", at positions 84 to 154 of the family's 154-position model. Lineage: Eukaryota; Fungi; Glomeromycota; Glomeromycetes; Glomerales; Glomeraceae. The record is from RNAcentral.